Molecule: unclassified non-coding RNA, 342 nt
Filed under: soil metagenome
Description: partial contains 5.8S ribosomal RNA, internal transcribed spacer 2, and large subunit ribosomal RNA
Rfam family: 5.8S ribosomal RNA (bases 1-120)
Source: RNAcentral
GAUGAAGAACGCAGCGAAAUGCGAUAAGUAGUGUGAAUUGCAGAAUUCAGUGAAUCAUCGAAUCUUUGAACGCACAUUGCGGCCAUAGGUAUUCCUUUGGCCAUGCCUGUUCGAGCGUCAUUUACACCCUCAAGCCUAGCUUGGUGUUGGGCGCCUGUCCCGCCGUUUUCGCGCGCGGACUCGCCUCAAAGUCAUUGGCGGCGGUCGUGCCGGCCCCCUCGCGCAGCACAUCUGCGCUUCUCGGAGGCCCGGCGGAUCCGCGCUCCAGCAAGACCUUUCACGACUUGACCUCGGAUCAGGUAGGGAUACCCGCUGAACUUAAGCAUAUCAAUAAGCGGAGGA